CAAUCUCUCACAUGGACGGUGACUUUAUGCGGUGACUUAAAUAAUUCAAUUUGAUACCCCAUAAAUGUGAUGCUUGAUAUCAUUUUGUGGUUGUUUCCCUGACUUCUUAUGUGAGUGAUUUCUGCAUCUCAUUUUGUUCUCAAUAAGGAGAAGCAAGGAUCAAAUUGCCAAGCGAGAAUAAAAGCAAACAUUAGACUUUUUCAUUAGAGCUGUUGGAUUGAAAUACUAACUUUACAAAUUCGGCCUGCUUUAUAAUAUAUAAAAAUGCAAAAUAUGUAAACAUCAGAUGAAAAAAAUAAGUGUAACUAAAUAGUUGAUAGUGUCAACGAGGAACCUACGGACGGAUUUGAUUUCACCCAUUUCUGGUUUUCAUUUUUCAUUCAUUCAGUAAGAAACAUAUUAUUUCCCGGCUGUAAUCAAGAUAACUUGCAAAUUUUGUAAUUAUGACUCAAAAGGUGCAAUUUAACAAUUUACUACAUCAGCGCAUUACAAUUUAGUCAUCGGUUAUCUAACUGUAAAGCGAGUAAAAUGGAGGGCACUUUCCAUUUGUUGCUCUCUGUUGGAGAUAGAGU
Molecule: long non-coding RNA, 572 nt
Organism: Hermetia illucens (black soldier fly)
Lineage: Eukaryota; Metazoa; Arthropoda; Insecta; Diptera; Stratiomyidae
Exons: 3
Source: RefSeq, a predicted model, not a curated record